GUCUCACUUUGUCGCCCAGGCUGGAGUGCAAUGGCGUGAUCUCACUCACUGCAACCUCCGCCUCCUGGGUUCAUGCCAUUCUCCUGCCUCAGCCUCCCGAGUAGCUGGGACUACAGGCACCUGCCAUCACGCCCGGCUAAUUUAUUUUUUAUUUAUUUUUUUAGUAGAGACGGGGUUUCACCGUGUUAGCCAGGAUGGUCUCCAUCUCCUGACCUUGUGAUCCACCCGCCUCAGCCUCCCAAAGUGCUCUGAUUACAGGCGUGAGCCACCGCGCCCGGCCAGCCAUCUGCUUAAUUUUUAUGUACAUUGCUUAUUUUUGUUUCUUGAGAUAAAAUUCAUGUAUUAAUAAUUUUAUUUAUUUAAAUGAAAUAAAUGAAGACGAACACCAGCUCAUCUUCAACUUAUCCCAAAUGUUUAAAUCUCCUCUUAAGUCAUUCAGACCUACCAGAUAUCUCAUCAUUUUCAUUUCUUGAAAGAGUCAUCAUUUUUUUUUUCUUUUUCUUUUUUUUUUGAGACGGAGUCUGGCUCUGUCACCCAGGCUGGAGUGCAGUGGCAUGAUCUCGGCUCACUGCAGACUCUGCCUCCCAGGUUCAAGCAAUUCUUCCUGCCUCAGCAUCCCAAGUAGCUGGGACUACAGGCAUGCACCACUAUGCCUGGCUAAUUUUUGUAUUUUUAAUAGAGAUGGAGUUUUGCCACGUUGGCCAGGCUAGUUUCAAACUCCUGACCUCAAGUGAUCCGCCUGCCUCAGCCUCCCAAAGUGCUGGUAUUACAGGCGUGAGCCACUGCGGCUGGUCCAUUUUCAUCUUGAAAUGAGUUUCCCUGGAAGUCUUCUGGCCUGCUGGAUUAUGAACAACUUGUCCUAUAAUCAUCCUGGGAUCCAGGGAUCUUUCUUCACAGGCAUCCUGGAGAUUAUCUCCUCUGUUGUAUCUCCUGGAUCUAAUGUCAUCCUCUUCUUGGUUCACUCGCUCAUUUUGUUGGAACACUUCAUCGGAGUUCCCUGGGAAAGACUGCAUAAGAAAUACACACUUUUAGUUGCAUAUAAUGCAUAUACAGACAUAUAGAUCUAUCUAGAUAUAUGUUUUUCCUGUAUUCUCACACUUAUUUGAUAGUUUAGCUAGGUGUAGAAUUAUAGGUUGGAAGUCAUUUUAAUUCUAAAUUGUAGAGGCACUGCUACAUUUCUACUGGUUCCUAAUGUGCUGUCGAGAAGUUCCAUGCCUUUCUGCUUGUCAAUCCUUUUACUGCAAACAAAAUUUUUUUUUUUCCUGUGCUGGAAGCUUUCAGAAAAAUAUCUGUUCUAAAAUUUUAUGAAGAAAUAUUUCUUUUCUAUGAAUCUUUAAACUUAAUUUUUUUUUACCCAUCAAACUCUUUAGAAAUGUUUAAUUGCAAGAAGAAAUUUGUGUUUUCACUAUGUAAUU
Molecule: long non-coding RNA, 1415 nt
Filed under: Homo sapiens (human)
Lineage: Eukaryota; Metazoa; Chordata; Mammalia; Primates; Hominidae
Description: LHRI_LNC1051.1
Source: RNAcentral